CCUACGGAAGGCAGCAGUAGGGAAUAUUGGACAAUGGGUGCGAGCCUGAUCCAGCCAUGCCGCGUGCAGGAAGAAGGCCUUCUGGGUUGUAAACUGCUUUUGCCGGGGGAUAAAAGACCCAUGCGUGGGGAAUUGAAGGUACCCGGUGAAUAAGCCACGGCUAACUACGUGCCAGCAGCCGCGGUAAUACGUAGGUGGCGAGCGUUGUCCGGAUUUAUUGGGUUUAAAGGGUGCGUAGGCGGCCCCGUAAGUCAGUGGUGAAAUACGGCAGCUCAACUGUCGAGGUGCCAUUGAUACUGCGGGGCUUGAGUACAGUCGAGGUAGGCGGAAUUGACGGUGUAGCGGUGAAAUGCUUAGAUAUCGUCAAGAACACCGAUAGCGAAGGCAGCUUGCUAGGCUGUAACUGACGCUGAGGCACGAAAGUGCGGGGAUCAAACAGGAUUAGAUACCCUGGUAGUCCGCACAGUAAACGAUGGUCACUCGUGUGGUCGGUACGACGCGACGCGCUACGACGAAGACGUAGUAGACCACCGNGGAGUACGCCGCGAGGUAGAACGACAANAGAGUAGACGCGUGAGACGNGCCGACGGACGACGACGAGGGAGGAGG
RNAcentral lists this ribosomal RNA (609 nucleotides) under uncultured bacterium. RNAcentral describes it as "bacterial SSU rRNA". The stretch from base 1 to 532 matches the Rfam family "Bacterial small subunit ribosomal RNA", at positions 338 to 873 of the family's 1533-position model. The record is from RNAcentral.